GAACUGGGAAGGUGAAUAUUUAGGUUUUCCAACUUCUAUGGUGAAAAGCAACAAAAUUGAAGAAGAUUGGGAAUGUCUCUUAGUCAAUCAACUAAUAACUUUUACCACGGGGUAUUGGGCACGGCAUGACCACUGCAUUCUCUGAUGGAGUCUCACCUACCCUAAGACUUGUGGAUGUUUUGUGGUGUUUGUACAGAUUAGAAAUGAUUUAAAUGAACGAAUAUUUAACCUGGUUGCUUUAUCUUCUGGUAACUUCCUUGGUCUUCCAUUGUUGUAGUCAGCAUUGGAAUGACCUAGCCAAAUUACACAAAAUAUGAAGUCUUAACAGCCAGCGUUUGCCAAGGGAAAAUUACUCAUACAAUGGAGCCUAUUCAGCCUUUGUGAGAUUCAUUUAGAAGUUUAAAAACAAAAUGUUCUUUCUUCAGUAUUUUUUACUAUUCUAGAACUAGAGAAUAAGUGUCAUAUUGUGUCCAUAUGGGCAGAGGGUAAAGUGAGGGAAGGAGCCUGAUGCAUAAAUCCUCAGUAUUUAUUUUCAGUGGAUAGUCUAUUUGGUUAAGUAGCUGUGAUUAUCUCACACUUCUCUUCACAUGUUUUUAGUGCACGAGCAUAGCUGUGUCUCGGAAAUGGUUGGCUUUGGGCAGUUCAGGAGGAGGACUCCAUCUCAUUCAGAAAGAAGGCUGGAAGCACAGGCUUUUUCUUUCACACAGGGAAGGUGCAAUUUCUCAAGUCGCCUGUUGUUUACAUGAUGAUGAUUAUGUUGCUGUAGCUACCAGUCAAGGUCUUGUGGUUGUUUGGGAAUUAAAUCAAGAGCGUCGUGGGAAACCGGAACAAAUGUAUGUGUCUUCAGAACACAAAGGCCGAAGAGUCACAGCUCUCUGCUGGGAUACAGCUAUUCUUAGAGUUUUUGUAGGUGAUCAUGCUGGGAAGGUUUCUGCUAUCAAACUCAAUACUUCUAAACAAGCAAAGGUGAGAAGCAGUCCCAUUCUUUGUGUAUGUAGUGAGAUACAAGGUGUUGUCUUAUAAAACUUCCAAUUAAAGGAUGUGAUUUUAUCUACUGUAUUUCUUGGGAGACUAAUCCGGAGUCCAAACCUGGAGAUUUUGAGGAGACCUGUUUUUAUAUAGUACACACGGUGGCCUGUUAGCUCAAUACCGUUACAGAAUGGCUUUUGUGAACUAACUUCAGUACUUUGCACAUUAUCUAUUGCAGUCCUUCCUGAUUCACCUGCAUGGCUCAUUUAAAGCAUUCUUUAGUAUAAGGCU
This 1260-nucleotide long non-coding RNA is filed under the name Homo sapiens (human). RNAcentral describes it as "HSALNT0172705". Lineage: Eukaryota; Metazoa; Chordata; Mammalia; Primates; Hominidae. The record is from RNAcentral.